AUUGAACGCUGGCGGCAGGCCUAACACAUGCAAGUCGAGCGGUAGCACAGAGAGCUUGCUCUCGGGUGACGAGCGGCGGACGGGUGAGUAAUGUCUGGGAAACUGCCUGAUGGAGGGGGAUAACUACUGGAAACGGUAGCUAAUACCGCAUAACGUCGCAAGACCAAAGUGGGGGACCUUCGGGCCUCAUGCCAUCAGAUGUGCCCAGAUGGGAUUAGCUAGUAGGUGGGGUAACGGCUCACCUAGGCGACGAUCCCUAGCUGGUCUGAGAGGAUGACCAGCCACACUGGAACUGAGACACGGUCCAGACUCCUACGGGAGGCAGCAGUGGGGAAUAUUGCACAAUGGGCGCAAGCCUGACGCAGCCAUGCCGCGUGUGUGAAGAAGGCCUUCGGGUUGUAAAGCACUUUCAGCGGGGAGGAAGGCGUUAAGGUUAAUAACCUUGGCGAUUGACGUUACCCGCAGAAGAAGCACCGACUAACUCCGUGCCAGCAGCCGCGGUAAUACGGAGGGUGCAAGCGUUAAUCGGAAUUACUGGGCGUAAAGCGCACGCAGGCGGUCUGUCAAGUCGGAUGUGAAAUCCCCGGGCUCAACCUGGGAACUGCAUUCGAAACUGGCAGGCUAGAGUCUUGUAGAGGGGGGUAGAAUUCCAGGUGUAGCGGUGAAAUGCGUAGAGAUCUGGAGGAAUACCGGUGGCGAAGGCGGCCCCCUGGACAAAGACUGACGCUCAGGUGCGAAAGCGUGGGGAGCAAACAGGAUUAGAUACCCUGGUAGUCCACGCCGUAAACGAUGUCGAUUUGGAGGUUGUGCCCUUGAGGCGUGGCUUCCGGAGCUAACGCGUUAAAUCGACCGCCUGGGGAGUACGGCCGCAAGGUUAAAACUCAAAUGAAUUGACGGGGGCCCGCACAAGCGGUGGAGCAUGUGGUUUAAUUCGAUGCAACGCGAAGAACCUUACCUGGUCUUGACAUCCACAGAACUUAGCAGAGAUGCUUUGGUGCCUUCGGGAACUGUGAGACAGGUGCUGCAUGGCUGUCGUCAGCUCGUGUUGUGAAAUGUUGGGUUAAGUCCCGCAACGAGCGCAACCCUUAUCCUUUGUUGCCAGCGGUCCGGCCGGGAACUCAAAGGAGACUGCCAGUGAUAAACUGGAGGAAGGUGGGGAUGACGUCAAGUCAUCAUGGCCCUUACGACCAGGGCUACACACGUGCUACAAUGGCAUAUACAAAGAGAAGCGACCUCGCGAGAGCAAGCGGACCUCAUAAAGUAUGUCGUAGUCCGGAUUGGAGUCUGCAACUCGACUCCAUGAAGUCGGAAUCGCUAGUAAUCGUAGAUCAGAAUGCUACGGUGAAUACGUUCCCGGGCCU
RNAcentral lists this ribosomal RNA (1361 nucleotides) under uncultured bacterium. RNAcentral describes it as "bacterial SSU rRNA". It matches the Rfam family "Bacterial small subunit ribosomal RNA", at positions 28 to 1381 of the family's 1533-position model. The record is from RNAcentral.